CAAGUCGGAUGUGAAAUCCCCGGGCUCAACCUGGGAACUGCAUUCGAAACUGGCAGGCUAGAGUCUUGUAGAGGGGGGUAGAAUUCCAGGUGUAGCGGUGAAAUGCGUAGAGAUCUGGAGGAAUACCGGUGGCGAAGGCGGCCCCCUGGACAAAGACUGACGCUCAGGUGCGAAAGCGUGGGGAGCAAACAGGAUUAGAUACCCUGGUAGUCCACGCCGUAAACGAUGUCGAUUUGGAGGUUGUGCCCUUGAGGCGUGGCUUCCGGAGCUAACGCGUUAAAUCGACCGCCUGGGGAGUACGGCCGCAAGGUUAAAACUCAAAUGAAUUGACGGGGGCCCGCACAAGCGGUGGAGCAUGUGGUUUAAUUCGAUGCAACGCGAAGAACCUUACCUGGUCUUGACAUCCACAGAACUUUCCAGAGAUGGAUUGGUGCCUUCGGGAACUGUGAGACAGGUGCUGCAUGGCUGUCGUCAGCUCGUGUUGUGAAAUGUUGGGUUAAGUCCCGCAACGAGCGCAACCCUUAUCCUUUGUUGCCAGCGGUUCGGCCGGGAACUCAAAGGAGACUGCCAGUGAUAAACUGGAGGAAGGUGGGGAUGACGUCAAGUCAUCAUGGCCCUUACGACCAGGGCUACACACGUGCUACAAUGGCAUAUACAAAGAGAAGCGACCUCGCGAGAGCAAGCGGACCUCAUAAAGUAUGUCGUAGUCCGGAUUGGAGUCUGCAACUCGACUCCAUGAAGUCGGAAUCGCUAGUAAUCGUAGAUCAGAAUGCUACGGUGAAUACGUUCCCGGGCCUUGUACACACCGCCCGUCACACCAUGGGAGUGGGUUGCAAAAGAAGUAGGUAGCUUAACCUUCGGGAGGGCGCUUACCACUUUGUGAUUCAUGACUGGGGUGAAGUCGUAACAAGGUAACCGUAGGGGAACCUGCGGUUGGAUCACCUCCUU
Molecule: ribosomal RNA, 948 nt
Filed under: Klebsiella pneumoniae
Lineage: Bacteria; Pseudomonadati; Pseudomonadota; Gammaproteobacteria; Enterobacterales; Enterobacteriaceae
Description: bacterial SSU rRNA
Rfam family: Bacterial small subunit ribosomal RNA
Source: RNAcentral